RNAcentral lists this ribosomal RNA (390 nucleotides) under Triticum aestivum (bread wheat). RNAcentral's name for it is "partial small subunit ribosomal RNA". The record is from RNAcentral. Lineage: Eukaryota; Viridiplantae; Streptophyta; Magnoliopsida; Poales; Poaceae.
UGUAGUCUCAACGAUGAUGCAUACAUGUCAACCAUGGGUGUUGGCUCCAACAAUUCGCAUUGGUAUCAAACCAAUGACAUCCAUUUCGAAGACCAUGAGUUCAAGGUGGACGAGGAGGGUGAGGGCAUUGUCGACGUGCCGAAAGGAAGAGCGGGCAAUUACACCAACAAAGAUGACAUCUUACUAUGCAAUACUUGGUUGCAAGUGUCGAGGGAUCCAUCCGUUGGAGGUGAUCAAAGUAGAGAUGCUUAUUGGGGGCGGAUGAAAGAACACUUUGAUGCUCACAACGUUAGUGGAAUUGACCGCUCCGAGAGAUCACUUCGGUCCCGAUGGUCGACAAUCAACUUGGAUUGUCAAAAGUGGGCGGGCGGCCGCACAAAAGGUGGUUGA